Molecule: ribosomal RNA, 440 nt
Filed under: uncultured bacterium
Lineage: Bacteria
Description: partial 16S ribosomal RNA
Rfam family: Bacterial small subunit ribosomal RNA
Source: RNAcentral
CCUACGGGAGGCAGCAGUGGGGAAUAUUGCACAAUGGGGGAAACCCUGAUGCAGCGACGCCGCGUGAGUGAAGAAGUAUUUCGGUAUGUAAAGCUCUAUCAGCAGGGAAGAAAAUGACGGUACCUGAGUAAGAAGCCCCGGCUAACUACGUGCCAGCAGCCGCGGUAAUACGUAGGGGGCAAGCGUUAUCCGGAUUUACUGGGUGUAAAGGGAGCGUAGACGGCAGUGCAAGUCUGGAGUGAAAGGCGGGGGCUCAACCCCGGGACUGCUCUGGAAACUGUACGGCUAGAGUGCUGGAGGGGGAGGUAGAAUUCCUAGUGUAGCGGAGAAAUGCGUAGAUAUUAGGAGGAACACCAGUGGCGAAGGCGGCCUACUGGACAGUAACUGACGUUGAGGCUCGAAAGCGUGGGGAGCAAACAGGAUUAGAUACCCUUGUAGUC